UGUUGUAUAAAUAAAUAAGUUCAGGCAGUCCGCAGUUAGGGAAGCAUGUGUUGCUGAUAAAACAGAACCUGAGUCAGAGAGGGGAAAACGUCUAAAAACCUUACUGGAUACAAACAAGGCCCCUAACUUUCUUCCCUGUUGACGAUGAGCAGCUGCAGACUUGGUGGAUGUGACUUGUGCCUGAUACUGGCAAUGAUUCCAAGAUUCUAAACUUCUUAAGACUGGUGAGGAGUCAAGCUUAGGAGCUCUGGAAUAGAACCGGCCAAGGAUUCAAUAGAGACUAGAAGAGCAUUCUCAUGGAGACAAGAAAUUUAAGGGACAUUCCACUAUAAUGGAAACAGCAAGACUGUCUGUUCUGGAGUUUCUGCAAGAAGCUAUGAGCAGUUCCGCUGCUUUCAGAUUGAGUACACACCAUGUGAGCAACUUCACACUGCUCCAUUAGCCUAAAAAGCCCCUUCUUCCUCAUCCCACAUCUACCACCAGAGGCGAAAACAGAAUGCAGAAGCUUCAUCUCUGCCAGAAGCAAAUAUGAUUCUUCUCUUUCUUUCCCAUGUAUUUCCUGUAUGCCACAGGAAGAGUAGGAGGCUGAUGCCCCUACACAUGAAGUAGACUCCAGGGUUCCAAGAACUAGCUGAGCCCAGACGUCCAGAGCAUGACAGAAAAGUGGAAGUGAUGAUAAGAGGUACAGACAUCACAGAUCUCAGAAAUGCAGCUGAGAACCUGACCCAAGGGGCAAGAAUGAGCUCUGGGAUGGUUGAUUGCCUGUCUUUUGCUUCUUCCCUAUAAAGCCCGGCUGGCUGGAGAUGAGAUACAAGGCGGCCUGUUGUUUGUUUGUAGAAUGUUAGUUUCUGCCCUCUUGGACCACAAG
Molecule: long non-coding RNA, 868 nt
Organism: Peromyscus leucopus (white-footed mouse)
Lineage: Eukaryota; Metazoa; Chordata; Mammalia; Rodentia; Cricetidae
Exons: 3
Source: RefSeq, a predicted model, not a curated record